UUUCGCAAUGCCCGAAAGGGUGACGAAGCGACGCCGCGUGAGUGAGGAAGGCCUUCGGGUUGUAAAGCUCUGUCAGGAGUUAAGAAAUAUAAGUGUGCUAAUACCACAUUUAUUUGACAAAAGCUCCAAAGGAAGCCACGGCUAACUCUGUGCCAGCAGCCGCGGUAAUACAGAGGUGGCAAGCGCUGUUCGGAAUUAUUGGGCGUAAAGAGCACGUAGGUGGGUUUGUAAGUCAGAUGUGAAAGCCUUCUGUUCAACGGAAGAAUUGCAUCUGAAACUGCGAGUCUUGAGUGUAGGAGGGGAGAAUGGAACUUCUGGUGGAGCGGUGAAAUGCGUAGAUAUCAGAAGGAACGCCGGCGGCGAAAGCGAUUCUCUGGCCUAUUACUGACACUCAGUGUGCGAAAGCUAGGGGAGCAAACGGGAUUAGAUACCCCGGUAGUCCUAGCUGUAAACGAUGGGCACUAAGUAGAGGGGUUUUA
RNAcentral lists this ribosomal RNA (479 nucleotides) under uncultured anaerobic ammonium-oxidizing bacterium. Its description in RNAcentral is "bacterial SSU rRNA". It matches the Rfam family "Bacterial small subunit ribosomal RNA", at positions 364 to 833 of the family's 1533-position model. The record is from RNAcentral.